This 250-nucleotide ribosomal RNA is filed under the name uncultured prokaryote. RNAcentral describes it as "partial 16S ribosomal RNA". It matches the Rfam family "Bacterial small subunit ribosomal RNA", at positions 524 to 774 of the family's 1533-position model. The record is from RNAcentral.
UACGUAGGUGGCGAGCGUUGUCCGGAAUUAUUGGGCGUAAAGGGAGCGCAGGCGGAAGGUCAAGUCCAUCUUAAAAGUGCGGGGCUCAACCCCGUGAUGGGAUGGAAACUGAUCUCCUUGAGUACCGGAGAGGAAAGCGGAAUUCCCAGUGUAGCGGUGAAAUGCGUAGAUAUUGGGAGGAACACCAGUGGCGAAGGCGGCUUUCUGGACGGCAACUGACGCUGAGGCUCGAAAGCCAGGGGAGCGAACG